Molecule: long non-coding RNA, 419 nt
Organism: Dioscorea cayenensis subsp. rotundata (Guinea yam)
Lineage: Eukaryota; Viridiplantae; Streptophyta; Magnoliopsida; Dioscoreales; Dioscoreaceae
Exons: 3
Source: RefSeq, a predicted model, not a curated record
UCAGUCCCAUCCUUAUCGGCUGGCAAUAAUGCCUCAUCCCUUUGCCUUAUCUCUAUCCCUCCCUUGCUUCCUUCCACCCUUUAACCUCAUUUCCCUCUCCAUUGAAGCCUCAAGAGUGAAGAGCUUUACCGGAGCACUGUAGCGGCGACGAUCAAACCGGGGAGGAGCUCUUCAACUUGUCAACAACCUAGAGGACCACCGUGAGGCAUUUAUUUGGAUCUCAAUUGGGAUUAGACUAUUGUAAAAUCAGGAGCAGUAGGCCCAGGGAUCUUAGAAGGCUUCCAGUAGAUAUCCUCUUUGGAGUCAUGUCUUUGUAUCAGUUGUAUUGUUGUUUAAGAACCUACUUGUAGGUCAUGCUAUAUUUCAUUUGCCUUGUAUUUGAGUUUGGUUGUAAACCUUAAGUUGUACUCUUAUUUGGU